UACGUAGGGUGCGAGCGUUGUCCGGAAUUACUGGGCGUAAAGAGCUCGUAGGUGGUUUGUCGCGUUUGUCCGUGAAAACUCACAACUCAAUUGUGGGCGUGCGGGCGAUACGGGCAGACUGGAGUACUGCAGGGGAGACUGGAAUUCCUGGUGUAGCGGUGGAAUGCGCAGAUAUCAGGAGGAACACCGGUGGCGAAGGCGGGUCUCUGGGCAGUAACUGACGCUGAGGAGCGAAAGCGUGGGGAGCGAACAGG
This 254-nucleotide ribosomal RNA is filed under the name uncultured bacterium. RNAcentral's name for it is "partial 16S ribosomal RNA". It matches the Rfam family "Bacterial small subunit ribosomal RNA", at positions 524 to 776 of the family's 1533-position model. The record is from RNAcentral.